GAAAGCUGGAAUAGACAACCAGAAGCGGCAGAUUCAAACCACUACAAAUGCCGGAGGAAAGAUCACAGAAGCGCUUCACCGGAGGCUCCCAAGCACUGAGGAUGUCACCUAGACAGGGGACGAAACGUCUGCAACACAAAUUCCCAGCUCGGCGAACAGAACCACAACAACGAGCACCCGAGCUACAAAUCUUUUCACAAAGUUUGAACUGGCCUUCUGGUUAAAACUCGUGUUGUACAUCAGGUGUAUUUGAUGGGGUCAGGACCCGGAAAUGUACCCGUGCCAGAGUCGCAAUCCCAGAAUGAAAAUUCAGCCCAUGGUCUACAUUUCAUAUUUUGAUCUAUUAUUUCAAAUCUGUUCAUGUUAAAUUGAACAGAAAUGUCCUCACUGUGCCACCGCAUUUGUUACCGAUGGUCUUCAUUGAGAGUUAUUGGUCUAGUUUGAUCUUCAAAGCAAGAAAUAAAAGUGGUGUCUAUCAGAGCCUAUAGACUUCAAAGUCACUUUGGUUUAGAUGCACGUCAAUGCCUUUUGACUCAAAAACUCUGGAUGUUGAGUUCUUCAGCAUCAGGUUUGCCACCAAGUAAAGAAGAUGACAGUGGAUACCGGUUCACAGAAAGCUGUAUUUUUCUAAAUACAGAUCAUACCCAUGGCAAAACAGAACUGCCUUGUGUGGUGAAAGAUGUACAAUCUGUGGAAUUAGAUGUUCCACCUUAUUCUCCAUUUGAUGAAUUACCUGAAGAAGAGGCUUUGCAAAUUGAGGCAAGUCCUUCACCCCCUCCUACCUCAUUUACCUUGUGUGACUAUGUUGACCAAUCAGAGACGCUAACCAAGCUGGUCCUUCUAGGACUCGUGCGGAAUGACACACUGUAUGAAGAUGAUGAUGUGCAAGAAGCUAUAAAACGAUUACCUGAAAACCUUUACAAUGAGUGAAUGUUCCGCAUAAAGCGAGCUUUGGAUUUGAGCCUGAAGCAUCCAAUCCUUCCAAAGGAGAUGUGGACAAAAUAUGAGCAGAAUAGUGCCGUGAAUUUUUCAUCCCGUCCAAAGAGACAGCUGGGACCUCUUCACAACUACACUCAAUGUCCAUCUUUAUUUUCACGAUCAAGAUCUGCAGCGGGUAUUGAACCUGUGACCUUGUGAU
This is a long non-coding RNA of Hemiscyllium ocellatum (epaulette shark), 1138 nucleotides long. RefSeq lists it as uncharacterized. The transcript is spliced from 5 exons. Lineage: Eukaryota; Metazoa; Chordata; Chondrichthyes; Orectolobiformes; Hemiscylliidae. The record is from RefSeq and is a predicted model, not a curated record.